RNAcentral lists this transfer RNA (53 nucleotides) under Dipodomys ordii (Ord's kangaroo rat). The record is from Rfam by way of RNAcentral. Lineage: Eukaryota; Metazoa; Chordata; Mammalia; Rodentia; Heteromyidae.
GGUGCUGUGGCUCAAGAGGUAGAGCGCUUGCCUUGAGCGCAAGGACAGUGCCC